This is a long non-coding RNA of Ctenopharyngodon idella (grass carp), 653 nucleotides long. RefSeq lists it as uncharacterized. The transcript is spliced from 5 exons. The record is from RefSeq and is a predicted model, not a curated record. NCBI's taxonomy places the organism in Eukaryota, Metazoa, Chordata, Actinopteri, Cypriniformes, Xenocyprididae.
UGGAGCGGCGCAGAGUUGUCAUGGAAACGGAGAAACAACAACUGACAAGCAGCAAAAACAGCAGUCUCUCGCUGUUGUUUUCACUUCUUUCAGUUUAGUGUCUUCGGAAAACUCCUUUAGCAUCUCCGUUAGCAUCCCGUUUUCAGAAGAGCAGUGAAAAAAUAACCCCUCUACAACAGAGGGGAAGCUCCGAAGAUUUCAGCAUUUCUGAAGGAACCUGCUGACAGAAGAAGGAAACACAGAUACUUCCCUGCUGAUGCCUUGCACCACAGCAGAGAUGCCCAGCAAGGUUACUAGAGAUUACGGCAGCUCAAGUUUGGAUCCAGCCUCACUUGUGAAGGCUUCAGAUGAUGGAAACUAUAGAUGGACAUACAAAACUAACAGAUAUUAUCCUUAUAUUGUAAUCAUUAGUUCCGGUUUCACAGACAGGGCUUAGAUUAAGUCAGGAUUAGGUCUUAGUUAAAUUAGGACAUUUAAGUAGCUUUUUUAAACAUGCUUUAGAAAAAAUUAAAAACAUUACUGUUGUGCAUCUUGACAUAAAACAAUGACACUGACAUAUUUUAAGAUAUACUAUCAGUUAAAGGGUUAGUUCACUCCAAAAUUACAUUUGUCAUUAAUUACUCACUCUCAUGUCGUUCCACACCCGUAAGACC